Molecule: transfer RNA, 72 nt
Filed under: Phrynosoma platyrhinos (Desert horned lizard)
Lineage: Eukaryota; Metazoa; Chordata; Lepidosauria; Squamata; Phrynosomatidae
Description: tRNA-OTHER
Rfam family: tRNA
About the family: Transfer RNA (tRNA) molecules are approximately 80 nucleotides in length.
Source: RNAcentral
GCCAGUGUGGUGUAGUGGUUUGCGCAUUAGAAUAUGACUCUGGAGAUCAGGGUCUGAAUCCCUGUUUGGGCA